CCUACGGGGGGCAGCAGUGAGGAAUAUUGGUCAAUGGGCGCGAGCCUGAACCAGCCAAGUAGCGUGAAGGAUGACUGCCCUACGGGUUGUAAACUUCUUUUAUAAAGGAAUAAAGUGAGGCAGGUGUGCCUUUUUGUAUGUACUUUAUGAAUAAGGAUCGGCUAACGCCGUGCCAGCAGCCGCGGGAAUACAGAGGUUCCGAGCGUUAUCCGGAUUUAUUGGGGUUAAAGGGAGCGUAGAUGGGUUGUUAAGUCAGUUGUGAAAGUUUGUGGCUCAACCGUAAAAUUGCAAUUGAUACUGGCAGGCUUGAGUACAGUUGAGGUAGGCGGAAUUCGUGGUGUAGCGGGGAAAUGCUUAGAUAUCACGAAGAACACCGAUUGCGAAGGCAGCUUACUAAACUGCCACUGACAUUGAUGCUCGAAAGUGUGGGUAUCAAACAGGAUUAGAUACCCCGGUAGUC
This 460-nucleotide ribosomal RNA is filed under the name uncultured bacterium. RNAcentral's name for it is "partial 16S ribosomal RNA". It matches the Rfam family "Bacterial small subunit ribosomal RNA", at positions 338 to 795 of the family's 1533-position model. The record is from RNAcentral.